UCACUGAAAUAUAUGACAAGCAAUUUCCAUGGCAACACGCGAGCUAUAAUCUAGUCUACUUUAGGGACAUAGUAUUACGUAAUGCAUAUCUUGAUCCAUGCGAUGGUUAGGUAUUUGGAAAAGAAGAUUCCUAGUGUGAACAACAAUUAUAGUGAAGAAAGGGGAACACAUGAUAAUCAAACUUAAGCACUCAUAAAAGAGUUUGAAAAUGCAAUAAAGUUUCUACUCGUUACACUUCUCCACUUAUCCUGAAAAAGCAAACAAUGUGAC
This 270-nucleotide long non-coding RNA is filed under the name Hordeum vulgare. RNAcentral describes it as "long non-coding RNA (HVUL_LNC005830)". Lineage: Eukaryota; Viridiplantae; Streptophyta; Magnoliopsida; Poales; Poaceae. The record is from RNAcentral.